GAAACCAGACGAUGAAGUGCAAAAAUUGCUUCUCUAGUACCUAACAUAUAUGUUGAAAACCGAACAGUGCAUCUGUGGCAAUACUAAUAGAAGAAGCCCAUAUUGUAAGUGUACGAUUCAAUAUUAAGGGAAUUUAGUGCUAGUUUACUAAGUGUUACUUUCCAUCCUGUUGAGAAUACACAGAUGAUGUACCAGAUAAACACAGGUCAGUCCUCGCUGUGCACACCUACUAUUUUAAGAACAUUUCUGGGAACGCAAGAUCCAUUGAUAAAUAAAAUUUCCAAAGCCCAACAUUACACAUUACAGCAGUAUAUAAGGAGACACCAACUACAAAACCAACCAAAACUAUACUCUUUAUGAAGCUUGUGCAAGAUUGGACAUCAUGAAUACACACUUCCUUGCUGUAUAUCUUUUAUUUUGUUUUGCUGGAGGUGUUUACGUGGACAGCAAUCCUGUUGUUUCAGCAAAUCAGCGAUUUCAAACUGUCACCUUCCCCAUGUCAAACACCUUUAACGUUCUUAUCGAGGAAGCAAACCGUUGUCCUCAACUGACCGGAAGUUGUUUGUGUCCAUGGAAAUGGAUACCGGAUGUUGAUUCUAACAGGAUACCGAACGUAAUUUACAAAGCAGAGAAACUCUUAGGAGCCGAAUGCGAGACCGAUCCUGAAAAAGAAUGUAGAAGUGAAAGCAAACGAUUCAAUGUAAUGCGGUUAAGUCCGAAUUUAAGUAGAGACUACAAUUUAGUUCCCGGUGACGUAGAGCUUCCGGUGGGUUUUUUCUGCUCAGAUAAACUUCAGAGACCAGUUAUAAAUGGAGAACACGCAUAUAGUAUGAUACGGGAUUAGAUGUUUACAAACCUCAAUACGGGAUUAGAUGUUUACAAACCUCAAUACGGGAUUAGAUGUUUACAAACCUCUAUACGGGAUUAGAUGUUUACAAACCUCUAUACGGGAUUAGAUGUUUACAAACCUCUAUACGGGAUUAGAUGUUUACAAACCUCUAUACACGUUUAUCUAUGGUUGUUCUAAAUUUAAAAAGCGUUGAAUUUCCAGUGUUGUAAUAAAUUAUUUUGUUUUAUAGAAUCGAAUAAAUUAAUACGAUUUUUACGUACAAUGAAUUUUACGGGUUUUGUGUAAAAAUUAUAUGUUUCAUAAUUUAUACAAUUUGUCAAAAUAUUUUGAAUA
Molecule: long non-coding RNA, 1183 nt
Organism: Magallana angulata
Lineage: Eukaryota; Metazoa; Mollusca; Bivalvia; Ostreida; Ostreidae
Exons: 3
Source: RefSeq, a predicted model, not a curated record